GUUCAAAAUGGCAUUGCUACCUAUGCAACAUGGACAACCAUUGCCACACUGCUCAACUUCACUAUUGUGUUGGAUCUAGCAUCAGUUUCCCCAACAAAUGCUGCUACAGCUUCUUUAUGCAUACUUCUGUUGGAAGUAAUUAUAUGGUUUACAGUUGAAAACUUUCUAAUAGAGAAGCAUGUCCGUUACAUCCUCACCGUUUACCCUGUGAUUAUCUAUGCUCUAAUUGGAAGCCUAAGCAAGCAUUACGACGCAGCAGCACCUGGCCGGAACUUUUCAGCGGUGCUCCUCGUGUUGGCCUGUAUUGUGUUAGUGGUGCGCGUGGGGCUGGUGGUUUGGAGACACAGGACUCGGCCUCUCUACCGUGAAGUCAGUCCUGAGGUCCUGAUGUCACCAAACAGCGGCACCGAUAAAUAACCAUACAUCAUAAACACUCAACACUCAUAAACUUCAAAGAUGACAUGCCCUGAACGGUAACCCUUCCAGGUGUGCAGUACCUGCAUGAAUGUGUUUCAGCUGGAACAGAUGCUUUCAGAGUCUUCAGUUUUAUGGAAAAUAUGCAUGAAACAGCAUACGGUAGCA
Molecule: long non-coding RNA, 582 nt
Filed under: Sinocyclocheilus anshuiensis
Lineage: Eukaryota; Metazoa; Chordata; Actinopteri; Cypriniformes; Cyprinidae
Description: lncRNA (ENSSANG00000015703.1)
Source: RNAcentral